Erinaceus europaeus (western European hedgehog) is the source of this 394-nucleotide long non-coding RNA. RefSeq lists it as uncharacterized. The record is from RefSeq and is a predicted model, not a curated record. The transcript has 3 exons. NCBI's taxonomy places the organism in Eukaryota, Metazoa, Chordata, Mammalia, Eulipotyphla, Erinaceidae.
CAUUUUCAGAUAUGGAGCAAGCAGAAAGAUGAGAUGCUUGAUUUUUAUCACUAUGGUAGAAGAGUGCCAAAAGCAGAAGGGGAAGGAGGGAAGAACCAUGGGCUAAGUACCUCAGGGUUGAACAGCACAUGUCAUCAAAGGAUUCAGUUGUCAGAAGUCGGCUCCGAUCUGUGUGCCCAAGUCCAGCUGGUUUGCAAAACCACAUGCUGAAAAGCCAGAUGUCCCUGUGUUACUCAGCUUGGAUAUGUAGCCCAGGUCUCUGCUGUUGGCUAUCAGGAAAGCCCAAUCCAUGUUCCCACAUAAUUUCUGGUCAUUUUUAGAUGUACAUAUUAUGCCUUCUAAAUGCCCAUUUCCUGGCCUGCAGGUUGAGGGGAUAUGAGAGUAUUUUGUUUAA